RNAcentral lists this ribosomal RNA (253 nucleotides) under uncultured bacterium. RNAcentral's name for it is "partial 16S ribosomal RNA". It matches the Rfam family "Bacterial small subunit ribosomal RNA", at positions 524 to 776 of the family's 1533-position model. The record is from RNAcentral.
UACAGGGGGUGCUAGCGUUGUUCGGAAUUACUGGGCGUAAAGGGCGCGUAGGCGGCUUAACAAGUCAGGUGUGAAAUCUCUGGGCUUAACCCGGAAAUUGCCAUUGAUACUAUAUAUCUUGAAUGCUGUGGAGGUAAGCGGAAUAUGUCAUGUAGCGGUGAAAUGCUUAGAGAUGACAUAGAACACCUAUUGCGAAGGCAGCUUACUACGCAGAGAUUGACGCUCAUGCACGAAAGCGUGGGGAUCAAACAGG